UGGUGGAGAGUGUGGCAGAGCCAGACCAGACGAGGACUGAUCACCUGGAGAAGCAUGCUGUCAAAGGCCUUGAGACAGGGUUUCACCAUGUUGACCAGGCUGGUCUCAAACUUCUGACCUCAAGUGAUCUGCCCACUUUGACCUCCCAAAAUGCUGGGAUUACAGACAUGAACCACUGUACCCAGCCCCUUGAGUUCUGAAGGCCAGAAUUCUAAAGUCAGUCCCACUGACUCAAGGUGGGAGCAGGGCAGGCACC
RNAcentral lists this long non-coding RNA (256 nucleotides) under Callithrix jacchus (white-tufted-ear marmoset). RNAcentral's name for it is "lncRNA (ENSCJAG00000083792.1)". The record is from RNAcentral. Lineage: Eukaryota; Metazoa; Chordata; Mammalia; Primates; Cebidae.